Vespa mandarinia (Asian giant hornet) is the source of this 4940-nucleotide unclassified non-coding RNA. The record is from RefSeq and is a predicted model, not a curated record. NCBI's taxonomy places the organism in Eukaryota, Metazoa, Arthropoda, Insecta, Hymenoptera, Vespidae.
AGACGUAAAAUCCACUUGUCUGUCGUAUAUAAGAUGUUGUCUCGUGCAAGAGCUUCAGUCGUUCUUGACUCUCUGACCAUAGAGAUACUCUCGUUCGUAUAGAAGAAAAAAGAAAUCCAAAAAGAAGAAGAAAAAAGAACCAAAACGAAACGAAAGAAAUAUCGCGAGUGAUAACCAAUCGAAUCACAAAGUGAGAACACCAUGAGAUUGUUCAGUUUCGUGCCAGUGUUGGUACUACUUUUCAUUCAAGAUUCCUUUGCUAAACCUGGUUUAAUUGGUGAUUUGACAUCAGGUUUAUCAAGUGGAAGUCUUUUGGAUCCACUUGGACUAUUUAGCAAAGGAGAUAAGAGUCAAGCUUCUGCCAAUAGCAAUGCUCAAUCAUUAGGUACCAAUUUGAAUCUUGGACCAUUAGGCCUGUCCGCCAAUUUGGCAUCAUCCUCGGCAUCAGCAACAGCCCAUGGGGAUGGUUCUGCAUCUGCCAAAGCAAAUUCUAAUGCUCAAAGUUAUGGUUAUAAUGGUGCCAGUGCUAACGCCAACGCCAACGCCAACGCCAAUGCCAACGCCAACGCCAAUGCUGGAGCUUCAGCCAAUGGUGGUGCACAAGGCUAUGAUGGUUCUUCGAGUCUUUACAACGAUGGAUCUUUAAAUAACAAUGAUAUCACUGGCAACUAUAAUUUAAGACCAAGUGAACCUUAUUCGAACAAUAUCUUUCCUUCGAAUGGACAAUACGGCGGUUACGAUGGUUCCUCAUAUAAUUCUGGAAAUGCUCAGUCAAAUGCUAAUGCAAAUGCUGAUGCAUAUAGUGGUAGCAAUGGAGGUACUUUGCUUCCAUCAAAACCAAACCCAUCUUUGGGACCAACUUAUGUCGCUGAUUAUGGCCCAUCUUAUCCUCAAUACCAAGGAAAUAGUGGUAGUACUUCUGGAAAUUCAAAUGCAUAUUCUAGUGCCAAUGCAAAUGCAAAUGCUAAUGUUAAUUCUGGUAGGACUGAGUAUGGAUAUAACAUACCCGAAUCAAUUCCUAUAAAUAUCCCACAAACGGUUCAACGACCACAACCUACCUUACAUCAGAAACCUGUAAUAAUAAAUCAAUCUCCACCAAACCCGAUAAUUCGGCAACCUAUACAAAAUUCAAAUCCUCAUUCCAGUGCCAGUGCAAAUGCAAAUGCUAAUGCUAAUGCUAAUAAGAUUGAUCGUGGAUAUAUAGUACCAGUAAUCGAAUCCAUUCCUAUAAACGUUCCGCAAAAUAUUCAACGACCACAGCCUGUCCAACAAAGACCUGUAAUAAUAACUCGACCUCCACCAAACCCAAUACAUCAACAACCAAGACCGAUUAUUCAUAGUGUUCCUGAGUUACAUAAUUCAGCAACACUGCCAGUGGUUAUCGUCGAAGGUCCGCAACAACAACCAAUAAGCAGACCUGGUGUCUAUCCUCAACAUCGACCUCAUUAUCAUCAUCCACAUAGACCAAAGCAACAACCUAUUGAAAUCUUCGUUAUCGAUGGUGACAGCAUUCCGACUCAAGCUCAAGGUGGAUAUCAUGGCAAUUAUGGUGCAAAUUCAGGCGGAUCCGGGCAAUAUAAUGGAAAUUAUGGUUCUGGAACAGGUCAUAGAAGAGGAAAUCCUUUCCUAAAUGGUGGAUCAACUAGUAAUGCCAAUGCCGCAGCUAAUGCCAAUGCAAAUGCUAAUGCUAAUGCCAAUGCUGCUGGUCAGUCUGGAUCACUUGGAUAUAAUGGUGGAGGUGAAUAUCUUGGUAAUAUCGGAGCAAACAAUCCUUUCCUUACUGGAUCUGGAAGUGCUGGAGCAAAUGCAAAUGCAAAUGCAAAUGCAAAUGCAAAUGCAAAUGCUAAUGCUAAUGCUCAGGGACACGGUCAAGGACAAAUUGGAGCACAGAAUCCUUUCUUAACUGGUGGAUCAAGUAAUCUUGGUGGAUAUGGCAGUCUUGGUGGAUCUAGCAAUCUUCAAACAGGGACAGGACAUUAUCAAGGACAUGCUCAAGGAAUACCUACCCAAAUUCCAUCAAAACCAAGUUGUGGUGGUUCUGGAUGUAACAACGGUCCUUCGAUAGUAAUAAUUGAUCAAAACAAACCUAAAGGUAUACCAACGACUCUACCAAAAGAAACAAAUUCUGGAUAUUAUGGUGGAAGCCAAGCAGGAAGUUCAGCGAAUGCUAAUACUGGAAGUUAUGCUGGUACACAAAAUCAACCUACCAAAGGUGCCCCAAUCAUUUUAAAUGGACCUAAUUAUGGUGGUCAGCCUAAAUAUCCAAGUACCGGAGAAUCAGGAUUCUUGGGUGGAAACUAUGGAAGUGGUAGCGGCUCUGCCGGAUCCAAUGCAAAUGCUAUUUCAUCGGCUAAUGCUGGAAGUUCUGGAUCUGGAUCUGGAUCAGGUGGUUAUGGUGGGCAGAGUAACGUACCACUUAAAGGAAGUCCUAUUUUCGGUCUUGGAGGAUCUGGUUCUGGAAACUUGGGUGGUUAUGGAAGCGGUAGUGGCUCGGCAGGGUCCAAUGCAAAUGCUAUUUCAUCGGCUAAUGCUGGAAGUUCUGGAUCUGGAACAGGUGGUUACAAUGGACAAGGUGGAUAUGGCGGAGGAUAUGGCGGUGGUUCAUCAGGAAGUUCUGGAUCUGGAAGUGGAGGAUUCGGUGGAAGUAUUGGCGGAGGUGCUUUAGGAGGAAGUUCAGGAUCUGGAAGUGGAGGAUUCGGUGGAAGUACUGGUGGAGGUGCUUUAGGAGGAAGUUCUGGAUCUGGAAGUGGAGGAUUCGGUGGAAGUAUUGGCGGAGGUGCUUUAGGAGGAAGUUCAGGAUCUGGAAGUGGAGGAUUCGGUGGUAGUACUGGUGGAGGUGCUUUAGGAGGAAGUUCUGGAUCUGGAAGUGGAGGAUUCGGUGGAAGUAUUGGCGGAGGUGCUUUAGGAGGAAGUUCUGGAUCUGGAGGAUCAGGAUUCGGUGGAAGUACUGGUGGAGGUGCUUUAGGAGGAAGUUCUGGAUCUGGAAGUGGAGGAUUCGGUGGAAGUAAUGGUGGAGGUGCUUUUGGUGGAAACGCUGGAUCUGGAGGCUCUGGAUUUGGUGGUGGUUCUGCCGGAUCGAGUGCCAGUGCUAAUGCCAAUGCAAAUUCUGGCUCUUCCGGUGGAUUUGGUGGUUAUGGAAGUGGCAACAUAAAGGGAUCUGGAUCAGGCUUCGGAGGAUUUGAUGGACAAGGUGGUUCAAGCGGCUACGGUGGAAGUCAUGGAGGUUCAGGAAGUUUAGGUGGAGGAUACGGUUCUUCUGGAUCAAACGCUGUUGCCAAUGCCGGUGCUAGUGCCAAUGCUGGAAGUUCAGGUGGUUCAAGAGAAUCAGGAUAUGGUGGGCCAAGCAUAUUAGGAGGUUAUGGAAAUAAAGGAUACGGUGGAGGAUCAGGAUCAAGCGCUUAUUCCGAUGCUAACUCUUCUGCUAGUGCUGGUGGAUCGUCCCAUGCAACUUCAAAUGCAAAAUCAAGUGCAUUUUCGAGUGCCGGUGGAUCGGCCAAUGCUAAAGCCAAUGCUGAGGCAUCCAGUAGUGCUACAGGAUUCGGUUCGAAAUCAUCGGCAUCGAGUCAUGCAUCUGCUACUGCUGAUACCAGUGACAUGCUCGUAUUCGUGGACUGACCUCAACAUUCCAACGACGAUUUAUCAGGCAUUCGAUAAAACGAUUCCUAUAUGGUUCAUUUUCGCAAAGUGACCGAAGUUAUUAAUUGCACGAUUCAACUUCUUUUUCUUUGUUUUGUUUCUUCUUUUUUUUUUUUGGUAUUCUAGCAAUUUUUAUAAUUCUGCGAGUAACUUUUGCCAUUAAUGUUGUAAUACAAUUGUUUUUUGUAAAUACCUUUAUUCGAUUUUUGUGCUUUUUUAUUACUUUUUUUUUUUUAUAUUGAAUUAUGUCACAUUAUUUCCAAUUGUAAACAAUAUAUAAGAUGUGCCGAGUAAAAUUUUUUUUUAUAAUUUGUUUUCAUUUUUCAUUCGAAGAUAUUGCAAAAAAAAAGAUCGUGUUUGGUAGGUCCAUACUUUUUAAUGGAUAUAGGAAUCGAGUAAUAUGAUAUAAUACUCGGAUUAUACAAUAUCUGCUUAACUUCCGAUAAAACACGUGACUAAUUGUUGAUAAUGUCGAAUCGAAGAUAAUAGGAACCAUUUGAUCACGUUAGAAUUAAACUUUGUACAAAACCAGUAUAGUAGUUUGUAAUACGUGUAACCAGGCAUGUCAUUGUGAACUAUAAUUGUAUUGUUCAUUUCUGUGUCUCCCUCGAGCUAUUUGUCGAUAUUGUUAAUCUUUAAUAUCUAAUAUUAAAUUAGAUAUAUAUCCUCGCUUAGAUAAAUUAUUUUGAUUUAGAAGUGACCAUAACACAUUGAUAAAACGAAAAUUAUUUCUUAUAUUUUAUGUUAUUCCCUCAAAAUCAUAGGAUUCACAUAAAAUUAUUUAGAAUGGAGUGUUUAGAAAAAAAAGAACUAGAAAAAAGAAAAAUACAGUAUUUUUAUAUUCAUUUGUUAUUAAUCUUUUAUGAAACGUAUACACGCACUCAUUUACGCACCUACGUGAUUUUCAGUGUAACAUGUCAGAAAUUUAAUUGUGAUUUGUUUUUUAACUAUGAAUAUUAUGAGAUUAGGAUGAGAAAGAUAUAAAUAUAUAUAAAACAACUAUAUAUAUAUAUAUAUAUGGAAGAUAAAACAACUGUAAUCAACGUUCAAUUUGUCCUAAGGAUUAUUGUGCGAUUUUUUUUCUUUUUUUUUUUUGUAAUUCAUAUAUAAUUACCAAGAAUUACUUUAACAUCAAACAUUAUUCGUUUCGGAUUUUCCUUGAAAUUCUCCUCUAUUAUCAACUUCUUAUCUUGUAUGCACUUGACGUAAACACUCUUUCAUUCUCGUCUCUCUUACAUAAUAUUUUACUGCGCGUCUUAUUUGUAAGCACUAAAAAUUUGAAAUAAAAUUUACGAUACAUUCGA